Molecule: long non-coding RNA, 897 nt
Filed under: Brachypodium distachyon (stiff brome)
Lineage: Eukaryota; Viridiplantae; Streptophyta; Magnoliopsida; Poales; Poaceae
Description: long non-coding RNA (BDIS_LNC004069)
Source: RNAcentral
GGGACGGGCGGUCAGCCCGUUGCUGAUGUUAUGCACAUAGUGGCAUGUUCUUGUAGGGACCGACACUAAUAUCAUUUUUCACAUUUAAAAAAAAGGCUGGGCAUUGGCCCAGCCCGCACGUUUCCCGUCGCCACGCCCAUGCCUCAGGAGCAGGCAUCCCUGCACGUUCCCCGUCGCCGGCAUCUGCAGGCAGCCCAAAACUCGGAGAUCUCCCCGGCCAACAACGAAUCGAUGAAUAGAGAUGAUCGAACACACAACAUGGACACAAAUCAGAUCAAGAACCCUAGCUCGCUGCCCAAACACACAAAUCGAACACACAAACGAAUCCGCGAUCAAGAACACACAAAUCGAACACAUAGAUCGGAUCCGCGACGGGGAGGUGGAGACGCCGCCGCUGCUCGUUGAAGAUAGGCCGGAUCCGGGGGCCUCCGGCCCGGAUCCGCGACGGGGAGGUGGAGAUGCCGCCGCCGCUCGUUGAAGAUAGGCCGGAUCCGGGGGCCUCCGGCCCGGAUCCGCGACGGGGAGGUGGAGAUGCCGCCGCCGCUCGCUGAAGAUAGGCCGGAUCCGGUGGCCUCCGACCCGGAUCGGCGACGGGGAGGUGGAGAUGCCGCCGCCGCUUGCUGCAGACGUCGCCGCCGCUCUGGGGAGGGAGGAGGAGAACCGGGUGCGCUGGGAGAGAGAGGAGCACGGCACGGCAACUGCUCGGGCUGGGAGAGAGGAGGGAGAAGAAAGGAGAGGGAGAGAUGGAUGCGUGUGGAUUGGGGAGAGGAAGGAGGAGAAAUCGGGCAAAAGUGAGGGAGGGAGGUGGCGGCAGCAGGGAGAAAGAGAGGCAGGAGGGGGGUUAGGGCUAGGCUGUAUUAUAUACGCAAUGGGGUUGGCUCAUGAGUGGCGGGUUCA